UGUGUCGGUAGUGAAAGCGUGGGGCUCAACCUCAUAUCCAUUAUCGAAACUGCACAGCUAGAGGACGAGAGAGGUUAUUGGAAUUCCCAGUGUAGGAGUGAAAUCCGUAGAUAUUGGGAGGAACACCGAUGGCGUAGGCAGAUAACUGGCUCGUUCCUGACACUAAGGCACGAAAGCGUGGGGAGCAAACGGGAUUAGAUACCCCGGUAGUCCACGCCGUAAACGAUGGAUGCUA
RNAcentral lists this ribosomal RNA (235 nucleotides) under uncultured Candidatus Saccharibacteria bacterium. Its description in RNAcentral is "partial 16S ribosomal RNA". It matches the Rfam family "Bacterial small subunit ribosomal RNA", at positions 584 to 818 of the family's 1533-position model. The record is from RNAcentral. Lineage: Bacteria; Candidatus Saccharimonadota.